RNAcentral lists this ribosomal RNA (253 nucleotides) under uncultured bacterium. Its description in RNAcentral is "partial 16S ribosomal RNA". It matches the Rfam family "Bacterial small subunit ribosomal RNA", at positions 524 to 776 of the family's 1533-position model. The record is from RNAcentral.
UACAGAGGGUGCAAGCGUUAAUCGGAAUUACUGGGCGUAAAGCGUGCGUAGUCGGUUAUUUAAGUCGGAUGUGAAAUCCCCGGGCUCAACCUGGGAAUUGCAUUCGAUACUGGAUAGCUAGAGUUCGGCAGAGGGAAGUGGAAUUCCGGGUGUAGCGGUGAAAUGCGUAGAUAUCCGAAGGAACAUCAGUGGCGAAAGCGACUUCCUGGACCAGAACUGACGAUCAGGCACGAAAGCGUGGGGAGCAAACAGG